GGAUCCAGACUUUGAUUCUGGCUCAGGAUGAACGCUAGCUACAGGCCUAACACAUGCAAGUCGAGGGGAAACGGCAGCUUAGCUUGCUAAGCUGGACGUCGACCGGCGCACGGGUGAGUAACGCGUAUCCAACCUGCCCCACGGUGAGGGAUAACCCGCGGAAACGCGGCCUAAUACCUCAUGGUCUCCGAGUUUGCCAUCAACCUUGGAGUAAAGAUUCAUUGCCGUGGGAUGGGGAUGCGUCUGAUUAGCUUGUUGGCGGGGCAACGGCCCACCAAGGCAACGAUCAGUAGGGGUUCUGAGAGGAAAGCCCCCCACAUUGGAACUGAGACACGGUCCAAACUCCUACGGGAGGCAGCAGUGAGGAAUAUUGGUCAAUGGGCGAGAGCCUGAACCAGCCAAGUAGCGUGCAGGAAGACGGCCCUAUGGGUUGUAAACUGCUUUUAUGCGGGGAUAAAGCGGGCGACGUGUCGCCCUUUGCAGGUACCGCAUGAAUAAGGACCGGCUAAUUCCGUGCCAGCAGCCGCGGUAAUACGGAAGGUCCGGGCGUUAUCCGGAUUUAUUGGGUUUAAAGGGAGCGCAGGCCGGGUAUUAAGCGUGUUGUGAAAUGUAGGCGCCCAACGUCUGCACCGCAGCGCGAACUGGUGCCCUUAAGUACGCACGACGUUGGCGGAAUUCGCCGUGUAGCGGUGAAAUGCUUAGAUAUGGCGAAGAACUCCGAUUGCGAAGGCAGCUGACGGGAGCGCUACUGACGCUCAUGCUCGAAAGCGCGGGUAUCGAACAGGAUUAGAUACCCUGGUAGUCCGCGCGGUAAACGAUGGAUGCCCGCUAUUUGCGCAUUAGCGCAAGUGGCCAAGUGAAAACGUUAAGCAUCCCACCUGGGGAGUACGCCGGCAACGGUGCAACUCA
This 909-nucleotide ribosomal RNA is filed under the name uncultured Bacteroidota bacterium. Its description in RNAcentral is "bacterial SSU rRNA". It matches the Rfam family "Bacterial small subunit ribosomal RNA", at positions 1 to 903 of the family's 1533-position model. Lineage: Bacteria; Pseudomonadati; Bacteroidota. The record is from RNAcentral.